RNAcentral lists this unclassified non-coding RNA (414 nucleotides) under Hevea brasiliensis (rubber tree). The record is from RNAcentral. Lineage: Eukaryota; Viridiplantae; Streptophyta; Magnoliopsida; Malpighiales; Euphorbiaceae.
UUUGUUUCUUUCCUUGAAGACAUCACCCACAGUGUGUUGGAAUAUAUGAAAUGAAAUACCAAUAGCAGCCUAGUCAUGCUCAUUAUGGAAAUUCCCAAUCUCACACAUUCAUCAGAGCAGCUGAAAUAGAUGAGAAAUGAGCCAAAUUUUGAUACGGAGUACAGCAUGUGUAGUUCAAAACUAUUUUUGGCCAAUUGAGAUAUGAAAGUUUUGUAGCAUUAUUGGAACCAAGUGGGAGUUUUCGAAACUAGUGUAUCUUUUAAUCAGUUGGAAAUUCCCUUCCUUCACAAAUUACAUACAGAUCAUAUUUAAGAACAUAGAUUAUUCAUUGUAUAUCAAGGUUGCAGGUGUUGGAAAUUCACCUGUGCUUUCAGUUGCAACGACAAUAUGGGGGAAUCAAAUUGUGCUAUGGGA